UUUCCGUAGGUGAACCUGCGGAAGGAUCAUUAAUGAAUAUAGAGCGUCCUCUUCAUCAGAGGAGCUCGACCCUUCAUUUCCAACACUGUGAACUUUACUUGGGAGACGGUCGAAAGACAGUCACCCUCACUUUAAACUCUACAAGUUAAAGAAUGUAACAAACCAAAAACAAAGAAAAACUUUCAACAACGGAUCUCUUGGCUCUCGCAUCGAUGAAGAACGCAGC
Molecule: unclassified non-coding RNA, 226 nt
Filed under: uncultured fungus
Lineage: Eukaryota; Fungi
Description: sequence contains ITS1, 5.8S rRNA gene
Rfam family: 5.8S ribosomal RNA (bases 178-226)
Source: RNAcentral